Molecule: ribosomal RNA, 279 nt
Filed under: uncultured bacterium
Lineage: Bacteria
Description: partial 16S ribosomal RNA
Rfam family: Bacterial small subunit ribosomal RNA
Source: RNAcentral
UGCCAGCAGCCGCGGUAAUACAUUAGUCCCAAGCGUUACCCGGAAUUAUUGGGUGUAAAGGGUUCGUAGGCGGACAAGCAAGUUAGAUAUUAAAGACCGGAGCUCAACUCCGUGUUAGUGUUUAAAACUACUUGUCUAGAAUUAGGGAGAGGUUAGCGGAAUUCUGAGUGUAGGGGUGCAAUCCGUAGAUACUCAGAGGAACACCAAAAGCGAAGGCAGCUAACUGGAACUAUAUUGACGCUGAGGAACGAAAGCGUGGGUAGCGAAAAGGAUUAGAUA